AUUGAACGCUGGCGGCAUGCCUUACACAUGCAAGUCGAACGGCAGCGGGGGAGAAGCUUGCUUUUCCUGCCGGCGAGUGGCGAACGGGUGAGUAAUACAUCGGAACGUGCCCUGCAGUGGGGGAUAACUAGUCGAAAGAUUAGCUAAUACCGCAUACGACCUGAGGGUGAAAGGGGGGGACCGUAAGGCCUCAUGCUAUAGGAGCGGCCGAUGUCUGAUUAGCUAGUUGGUGGGGUAAAGGCCUACCAAGGCGACGAUCAGUAGCUGGUCUGAGAGGACGAUCAGCCACACUGGGACUGAGACACGGCCCAGACUCCUACGGGAGGCAGCAGUGGGGAAUUUUGGACAAUGGGCGAAAGCCUGAUCCAGCAAUGCCGCGUGUGUGAAGAAGGCCUUCGGGUUGUAAAGCACUUUUGUCCGGAAAGAAAUGGCUCUGGUUAACACCUGGGGUCGAUGACGGUACCGGAAGAAUAAGGACCGGCUAACUACGUGCCAGCAGCCGCAGUAA
RNAcentral lists this ribosomal RNA (508 nucleotides) under uncultured bacterium. RNAcentral describes it as "partial 16S ribosomal RNA". It matches the Rfam family "Bacterial small subunit ribosomal RNA", at positions 30 to 523 of the family's 1533-position model. The record is from RNAcentral.